RNAcentral lists this ribosomal RNA (476 nucleotides) under uncultured bacterium. Its description in RNAcentral is "bacterial SSU rRNA". It matches the Rfam family "Bacterial small subunit ribosomal RNA", at positions 328 to 793 of the family's 1533-position model. The record is from RNAcentral.
UCAGUCGACUCCUACGGGGAGGCAGCAGUGGGGAAUAUUGCACAAUGGGGGAAACCCUGAUGCAGCCAUGCCGCGUGUGUGAAGAAGGCCUUCGGGUUGUAAAGCACUUUCAGUAGGGAGGAAGGUAGUGUAGUUAACACCUGCAUUAUUUGACGUUACCUACAGAAGAAGCACCGGCUAACUCCGUGCCAGCAGCCGCGGUAAUACGGGGGGGUGCGAGCGUUAAUCGGAAUUACUGGGCGUAAAGCGCAUGCAGGCGGCCUGUUAAGUCAGAUGUGAAAGCCCGGGGCUUAACCUCGGAAUUGCAUUUGAAACUGGCAGGCUAGAGUCUUGUAGAGGGGGGUAGGAAUUUCAGGUGUAGCGGUGAAAUGCGUAGAGAUCUGAAGGAAUACCAGUGGCGAAGGCGGCCCCCUGGACAAAGACUGACGCUCAGAUGCGAAAGCGUGGGGAGCAAACAGGAUUAGAUACCCUGGUAG